RNAcentral lists this ribosomal RNA (511 nucleotides) under uncultured bacterium. RNAcentral describes it as "partial 16S ribosomal RNA". The record is from RNAcentral.
GGAGUUAGCCGGUGCUUAUUCUGCGAGUAACGUCACAGAUGUAAGGUAUUAACUUACACCCUUUCCUCCUCGCUGAAAGUGCUUUACAACCCGAAGGCCUUCUUCACACACGCGGCAUGGCUGCAUCAGGGUUUCCCCCAUUGUGCAAUAUUCCCCACUGCUGCCUCCCGUAGGAGUCUGGGCCGUGUCUCAGUCCCAGUGUGGCUGAUCAUCCUCUCAGACCAGCUAGGGAUCGUCGCCUAGGUGAGCCUUUACCUCACAUACUAGCUAAUCCCACCUGGGCUUAUCCAUCAGCGCAAGGCCCGAAGGUCCCCUGCUUUCCCCCGUAGGGCGUAUGCGGUAUUAGCAGUCGUUUCCAACUGUUAUCCCCCACAAAUGGGCAAAUUCCCAGGCAUUACUCACCCGUCCGCCGCUCGUCAUCUUCAAAAGCAAGCUUUUGAAAUGUUACCGCUCGACUUGCAUGUGUUAGGCCUGCCGCCAGCGUUCAAUCUGAGCCAGAAUCGAACCCUGA